Molecule: long non-coding RNA, 2159 nt
Filed under: Solanum tuberosum (potato)
Lineage: Eukaryota; Viridiplantae; Streptophyta; Magnoliopsida; Solanales; Solanaceae
Description: long non-coding RNA (STUB_LNC011860)
Source: RNAcentral
CAAUGUACGUAUUCCGUCUUGAAUGCAUUCUUCCAUUAAGUAAUGUAUCAUUUGCACUGUAUCGAACAAUCAAGAAAUAUAUACGAGUAGGAAAGUCAUAUCUCUAAACAUUACUGGAUUAUAUAUAACAUCCUAAACAUUACAAUCAAUCAAUCAAUCGAGAGUCUUCUAUACAUUUAGAAACUUUCUAUAUUAAUUCUCGAAUGUUUGAUAAAACUUUUCAUAUGAUAUGUUUAAAAUCACAGAAUUAAAAGAUAUAUUGAUAUAUUUAUCAUAUCAUUAAUUUAAGAUCACAAGAUUCAAAAAUCGCUUCUAUUAUUUUAAACUCUAUACCAAAUUAAAAUAGACAAACGAAACAUUGAAAAUAAAAUAGAAGGGUACAAGCUUUGUUUAUUUGAUUGGCUGUUUACAGUAGGCAAGGGACUUUUUCAUUAUAUUACUAUAUAAUAUACUUUAUUAACUAUAUGAUAGAUCCAUUACCACAAAUUGAGGAGUGAAGCACAGGGUUUUGCGCCGGGGGUAUGGGGGUAGGCGGUGAUUUGGAGAUUCUUUAACUUAUUGUUUUGUUUUGUUUCUUAUUCGGUGUUUAGUAUUUAUAUUAGAGUUUGAUUUAUAUUGAAAAGUUCAUACUGAGAUAAAACACUUCCAAUAAAAGUAAUUUCAUAUAUACCCAAAGAACUUGAACAUGAAGAUUAUUAAACCUUAUUCUCAUGUCAUAUCUUGAAAAUAAUUUUUUAAAUUAUCACAUCCUUUUUCGUUCAUUUUUACUUUGUCCAUUGUUAAUUUCAUGACCUGUUUAAAACAAUUAUUUGACACAGAGACUGAGAAAUGGACAUGAAGUGUCACACGCUUGGACAAGAAACACACAACUUAAAAAAGGAAAAAAGGACAGUCAGUGUCUUGAUUAAUGUAUCGUCCUUUUUAUAUAAAAAAAAAGUGUUAUCAUUACCCAAAUCCAAUAAGAAAAAACAUCUAACGUAUGGUAGACAUCUAAUGCAUUGAUUAACCAUACUCCUAUAUUUUAAGGUUUUAUAUCAUUUUUUCCCCUAUUUUUUCAUUCGAUGUCUGAAAUUUACAUUAGGGUCCGACUAAGUUCGAAUAUGCAUAUUGAAAGGUAAAGCAUUCCCCAACAAAGGAAACUUCGUAUCCAGAGACACUCGAACUCAAAAAUUAUAUUCCUUGAAGUGAAGAAUUGAAAGUGGUUGUUAGUUAGAUAACACGUAUGUAAUGUACAUCUUUAGUGUUCUGCUCAUGGGAAGAGGGAUGCGGGAAAGUGAAUCUUCUCACUUAUGCUCACUUUUGUUUUAGAAGUCAGAUUGAAUUUACAUAUGGUGCAAUCAACAGAAGGGUUCCAAACCUCUAAAAGUCGAGGCUGAUUUAACGUCACAACUUCCCCUUAGCGCACAACUAAAUGAUGCACGGAUUGGAAAUGCGGAUUUGUAAGGAUCACAACUAGAUGUUGUUCAAAUAAAUAAGGGUAUAUUUGGAUCAACUAUUGCAGGUGCACGAUAAAGGUAUAUCUGAGCUAAGCUAUUAACGAAUGAUAUAUAUUUGUUCGAUUAGUAAAAAUAAAAUUUUAUUUUUAAAAUGAUAGACAAGUAAAAGAGUAUCGAAUAACGAACCUUCCACUCCCGCAUUAAAAGUCGCACGUGCUGUUCCUACUUGGAUUCUGUACGGUCACCCACGUGUCCAUCCCUUUCUCCUAGGCGUUAAUCCACGUGUUCUCUUCUCUCCUUUCUCUUAUAUCUUCUAUUUCCACUUUCUUCAAAUUCUCCUCAAAAGCCCAUUAACACACUCGGCCCAAAUCAAACUCCACCUACCAAACGCCGUCGUUUCGACUUUCACCUCUCAUUUUCCGAUAACACCGGCAAACCUUUGAAAACUCGCCGGAAACAUUAACUACCUAUUGCCGGCGACGAAAACAGUUGAUGAAUUGAAUUAGAUCAUCAUAGCCGAAGACAAUGGAAACAGAAGUUCAAUCUAAUUUCACUUACAUGGGAAGAACAUUUACCGGUCUUGGAAUUAAUGAAUCUUCCUCUGCUUUCAGCGACUGCAAUAGCGAUAGAUCCGGCGAGUUUCCGACGACUUCUUCUCAAAGCCGGCGGUUAUUAAUUGCAUGUGCGUCGGAUAAUUAUAACUCCGAUGAAUUGAUUCAACAA